CGCAGCAAUUGACGUUACCCGCAGAAGAAGCACCGGCUAACUCCGUGCCAGCAGCCGCGGUAAUACGGAGGGUGCAAGCGUUAAUCGGAAUUACUGGGCGUAAAGCGCACGCAGGCGGUCUGUCAAGUCGGAUGUGAAAUCCCCGGGCUCAACCUGGGAACUGCAUUCGAAACUGGCAGGCUUGAGUCUUGUAGAGGGGGGUAGAAUUCCAGGUGUAGCGGUGAAAUGCGUAGAGAUCUGGAGGAAUACCGGUGGCGAAGGCGGCCCCCUGGACAAAGACUGACGCUCAGGUGCGAAAGCGUGGGGAGCAAACAGGAUUAGA
This 322-nucleotide ribosomal RNA is filed under the name Salmonella enterica subsp. enterica serovar Virchow. Its description in RNAcentral is "bacterial SSU rRNA". It matches the Rfam family "Bacterial small subunit ribosomal RNA", at positions 461 to 782 of the family's 1533-position model. Lineage: Bacteria; Pseudomonadati; Pseudomonadota; Gammaproteobacteria; Enterobacterales; Enterobacteriaceae. The record is from RNAcentral.